UGCCUGGCGGCCGUAGCGCGGUGGUCCCACCUGACCCCAUGCCGAACUCAGAAGUGAAACGCCGUAGCGCCGAUGGUAGUGUGGGGUCUCCCCAUGCGAGAGUAGGGAACUGCCAGGCA
RNAcentral lists this ribosomal RNA (119 nucleotides) under Escherichia coli. The record is from RNAcentral. Lineage: Bacteria; Pseudomonadati; Pseudomonadota; Gammaproteobacteria; Enterobacterales; Enterobacteriaceae. RNAcentral also lists the same sequence under 6 other names.